UGGCCUUACCCUGUACAGGUUCAGCCCAAGGCAGGACACAGCAUGGACAUGAGGAUCCCCGCUCACUUUCUGGGCCUCUUGCUGCUCUGGGUCCCAGGUGCCAGAUGUGACAUCCAGUUGAUGCAGCCUCCAUCUGCAUCUGCAUCCGUGGGAGACACAGUCAAGAUCAGUUGCCGGGCCAGUCAGGGUAUUAGUGAUGACUUAGACUGGUAUCAGCAGAAAGGAGGACAAGCUCCUACACUUCUGAUCUAUUGGGCAAACAGAUUGCAGUCUGGGGUCCCAUCGAGGUUCAGUGGCAGUGGAUCUGGGACAGAUUUCACUCUCACAAUCAGCAGCCUGAAGCCUGAAGACUUUGCAACUUAACUACUGUCUACAGAGUAACAGUUUCCCU
Molecule: non-coding RNA, 391 nt
Organism: Cavia porcellus (domestic guinea pig)
Lineage: Eukaryota; Metazoa; Chordata; Mammalia; Rodentia; Caviidae
Source: the annotation of a RefSeq genome assembly